Entelurus aequoreus (snake pipefish) is the source of this 2182-nucleotide long non-coding RNA. RefSeq lists it as uncharacterized. NCBI's taxonomy places the organism in Eukaryota, Metazoa, Chordata, Actinopteri, Syngnathiformes, Syngnathidae. The transcript is spliced from 4 exons. The record is from RefSeq and is a predicted model, not a curated record.
CGGUCGGGUCUGCUGACAUCUGCCCCAUCAGUCAUUCCCGCCCAAGGCCCCGCCCUCCGGUCUCCCAUACAAGGUAUCGGAGGAAUGCGGCUCUUGGAAGUCCAUCCGCUUCAUAAGGAGACCAGAGGGGUCCAUGUGAUGACGAUAGUUAGUGUUCUGGAGAUCCGCGGCGAAGACCUCCUCUCAUACACGACAUGGCGUCUCCCGCUCAGAACGCUGCCUGGUCCUCACAACACACACAGAUGGAUGACAGGAGAGGCCGGAGAGGGGUUGCGAUGGAGAUGAGGAGACCGAAGAUGGACAUCACUCUGGAGCAGCAAUAAGAUGAGAUGUGCAUGGAGCAAAGAGGUGACUAUCAACAACACACACACACACACACACACACACACACACACACACACACACACACACACACACACACACACACACACACACACACACACACACACACACACACACACACACACACACACACACACACACACACACACACACACCCACACACACACACACACACACACACACACACACUAUUGUAUUUGUUACCUUCUUGAGACCUCCGAAAAAUUUGCCUACCUAUUCAGGACCACCCUUUCUAGAUAGAUAAAGAUUUGUAUUUACAACAUUAAUCAUAUAUACAUACUAUGCAAAUAUAAAAACGGUAAGCUUUUAUUUUUUUGUUUAUUUUUUUUUUGUUUGUAAUUGGUUUUUAAUCUUCAUUGUUUACUUCAAGUUGUAUACAUAUUUUAUUUUUUGUAUCAAUUUUGGCCAAAGGGGGCGCAUUUCAAUUUCUUACACACACUUGUUAUUUCAUAUGUUGGCCAGAGGGAGCACUUUUAAAACCGACACACAGUCAAUUUGAAAAAUCCCUCCUUUUUGGGACCACCCUAAUUCUGAUAGAUUUCACCACCUGGGGUGCAAAUUAGAUUUGCACCCCUAUUUAUUGUUUUUUGUAAUGUGCUUAAGGUUGAUGACAAACAGACCACAGAUGGCCCCUGUGCCGCUCUUUGGGCAACCCAGCUGUAAAAGCUAACUGUUAAUGGCCACUAUAGUCUUAGUAGCGUAGUGUAUUUAUUCAUCCUAUGAUCACAUAUGGGGCGCAGGUUAUCUUACGUCAGCACCAGAAGUCGUACAAUCAGCUGUUCACCUGGCGGGUUUUUUCGGGGAUAAAUAGGGAAGUCCUUCUUUAGCUGCCGUCUUGUUUUAUCAUAUAUUGCUGCCUUUGCACCUGUCAUUGUUUACUUUUGUAUGCACGUUAAAUCACCAAAAAAUCCUGACUUUGGAGCAAUGUUCACGGACUCUAGUAUUUGGCUCUCUGUGAGAUGCAAUGGGUUUCCGUAUUGGACCAUGAUUUCGGUCCUAACUUGUUCACCGGUCCUCACAUGUAAGGCGCUUUUCCUUGUUGAUGUCUCAAGAAGGGUAGACAUACAAGAACACACACACACACACACACACACACACACACACACACACACACACACACACACACACACACACACACACACACACACACACACACACACACACACACACACACACACACACACACACACACACACACUUGUUUCUUUUACAGCGUCAAAGUAGUGCCUAAGUGUAAUUGGAGAAGGAAAAGCACUUAACGCCACAGGAAGUCACAUAUGUCCAGAGUUCAAGUAGUUUCCUGUUAACCCCCCCCCCCCCUCCAUGUAAAAGUGUAUGUGCACACUCCCUGUGGCCCAUGGUGCAGUGCUGCAUCUCUGGUCAGUUGGUAGUCUGAGAUGAAGCACUGUAGCUCGGGACCAAGGACCCACACACUGGCCUCCACGCCACCAGGUGCACUAAUUCACCCGGGAGCAUUACUUUAACUUUGUCAAUCUUAACAUCUGCCAGUGACGAUGAUGAUGAAUGUUUCAUUUGUAUUUCCUCUCUCCUGGGGUCCAGUUUUCCCAGGAAUCCCUUGAGCUGUCCAAAAAAAGGGGGAUUCCUGGAAAUACUGUUCUUAGGGGCGGGGCCAAGCAUCAGUUUAAUAUUAGUAUUAGUAGUAUUAAAUAUUAAUUGAAUUGUUUCCAGGGCUAUUAAACAAUGAUUUUAUUCUCUGUAAAACCUGUAAUAAAAUGAAAUUAAAAUGUGAAUAAAAUGUGGGAAAAGAAGAUAAUAAUAUGUUUAAACUCAUGAUGUAAAAUUUCUAAUGGAAUUAUGA